UCGAUCCUGCAGUUGAUCUCUUGAAACUUUGGGUCUAUGUUAGCAUCAUGGACCGUGUGGGUCUUUGCAUGAUGAGUAGGCGAUCUCCCUAGGGUGGAGCCUUUUCCAAAGUGGGGAGUACGUGAAUGCCUCUCACUUUCAGGGCUUCAGGGCUGACUCAAUUUGGUUUGUCUUCCUCGAUCAGGGCUUUACAGUGGAGAUCGAGGAGGAUGUUGUGGGGGUGCCACCUAUGUCGGACCUUACUGCCACAUGGUGUUAACUACUAUUGUUAAUGCCCACACCUGAUCGACCAGCAUGGCAAACUGGUCUUGACUCACUCCAGGAGCCGACUGUGGUAGUUGUGGUCAUGGCAUUGGCUAGGAUGCCAAUGCAUGAUGCUUGUUUAGAUUUUCAACCAUGUGGAGAGUGGU
This 410-nucleotide long non-coding RNA is filed under the name Elaeis guineensis (African oil palm). RNAcentral describes it as "long non-coding RNA (EGUI_LNC050002)". Lineage: Eukaryota; Viridiplantae; Streptophyta; Magnoliopsida; Arecales; Arecaceae. The record is from RNAcentral.